CCUACGGGGCGCUGCAGUGGGGAAUAUUGGACAAUGGGCGAAAGCCUGAUCCAGCCAUGCCGCGUGUGUGAAGAAGGCCUUCGGGUUGUAAAGCACUUUCAGUGGGGAAGAAAGCCUUGGGGCUAAUACCCUCGAGGAAGGACAUCACCCACAGAAGAAGCACCGGCUAACUCCGUGCCAGCAGCCGCGGUAAUACGGAGGGUGCGAGCGUUAAUCGGAAUUACUGGGCGUAAAGCGCGCGUAGGCGGUCUGAUAAGCCGGUUGUGAAAGCCCCGGGCUCAACCUGGGAACGGCAUCCGGAACUGUCAGGCUAGAGUGCAGGAGAGGAAGGUAGAAGUCCCGGUGUAGCGGUGAAAUGCGUAGAGAUCGGGAGGAAUACCAGUGGCGAAGGCGGCCUUCUGGACUGACACUGACGCUGAGGUGCGAAAGCGUGGGUAGCAAACAGGAUUAGAUACCCCAGUAGUC
This 465-nucleotide ribosomal RNA is filed under the name Vreelandella stevensii. Its description in RNAcentral is "partial 16S ribosomal RNA". It matches the Rfam family "Bacterial small subunit ribosomal RNA", at positions 338 to 795 of the family's 1533-position model. Lineage: Bacteria; Pseudomonadati; Pseudomonadota; Gammaproteobacteria; Oceanospirillales; Halomonadaceae. The record is from RNAcentral.